CGAGCCGGCCGGGCGGCCGCGACGGGGGUGACCCCGCCGAGGAAAGUCCGGACUCCGCAGGGCAGGGUGGUUGUUAACGGCAACCCGGAGUGAUCCGCGGGACAGUGCCACAGAAAACAGACCGCCGGGCCGUGCCCUCGGGCGCGGUCGGGUAAGGGUGAAACGGUGGUGUAAGAGACCACCAGCACCCCGGGUGACCGGGGUGGCUCGGUAAACCCCACCCGGAGCAAGGCCAAGAGGACGCCGGCGACGGCGUCUGCGCGAGCGUUCGAGGGCGGCCCGCCCGAUGCUCGCGGGUAGGCCGCUGGAGCCCGUCGGCGACGGCGGGCCUAGAUGGAUGGUCGCCGGUCGAGUCGCCGCGAGGCGGUUCGACGACAGAAUCCGGCUUAGAGGCCGGCUCGUCCU
Molecule: non-coding RNA, 405 nt
Organism: Actinoalloteichus hoggarensis
Lineage: Bacteria; Bacillati; Actinomycetota; Actinomycetes; Pseudonocardiales; Pseudonocardiaceae
Rfam family: Bacterial RNase P class A
About the family: Ribonuclease P (RNase P) is a ubiquitous endoribonuclease, found in archaea, bacteria and eukarya as well as chloroplasts and mitochondria. Its best characterised activity is the generation of mature 5'-ends of tRNAs by cleaving the 5'-leader elements of precursor-tRNAs.
Source: Rfam